This 429-nucleotide ribosomal RNA is filed under the name Pseudomonadota bacterium. RNAcentral describes it as "Proteobacteria bacterium partial 16S ribosomal RNA". It matches the Rfam family "Bacterial small subunit ribosomal RNA", at positions 355 to 776 of the family's 1533-position model. The record is from RNAcentral. Lineage: Bacteria; Pseudomonadati; Pseudomonadota.
UGGGGAAUAUUGGACAAUGGGCGAAAGCCUGAUCCAGCCAUGCCGCGUGUGUGAAGACGGUCUUCGGAUUGUAAAGCACUUCAAGUUGGGAGGAAGGGCAGUAAGCGAAUACCUUGCUGUUUUGACGUUACCGACAGAAUAAGCACCGGCUAACUCUGUGCCAGCAGCCGCGGUAAUACAGAGGGUGCAAGCGUUAAUCGGAAUUACUGGGCGUAAAGCGCGCGUAGGUGGUUCGUUAAGUUGAAUGUGAAAGCCCCGGGCUCAACCUGGGAACGGCAUCCAAAACUGGCGAGCUAGAGUAGGGCAGAGGGUGGUGGAAGUUCCUGGGUAGCGGUGAAAUACGUAGAUAUAGGAAGGAACACCAGUGGCGAAGGCGACCACCUGGGCUCAUACUGACACUGAGGUGCGAAAGAGUGGGGAGCAAACAGG